RNAcentral lists this non-coding RNA (30 nucleotides) under Macaca fascicularis (crab-eating macaque). Lineage: Eukaryota; Metazoa; Chordata; Mammalia; Primates; Cercopithecidae. RNAcentral also lists the same sequence under 1 other name. The record is from RNAcentral.
UGGGAUAAGAUCGCCCUGGUGACGAGGAGC